CCUGAGAAACCCGAAAGAUCGAAUGGGGAGAUUCAUCGUCAGCGAUCCUGGCACGUGUGCGGUUCGUGAUGCCACGGGACUUCGGUCCCGAGGUACACGUCCGUGUGGGUUUUUUGCCUGGUGUCGUCGGCGUGCACUUCUCCCCUAGUAGGACGUCGCGACCCGUUGGGUGUCGGUCUACGGCCCGGGUGGACGCCUGUCACGCGCACUACGACGCCUCGCGGCGUCAUGUGGCUGACAGACCCCCGGUCGUCUGACCAGCUGCCCGGCGGUACUCGCACGGUAUCGAGCCGCAAAUUUGAACUGCGUCCGGCCCGCCGCAAGCGAGGCCAGUGUUUUCCCGGAUGUACGGACCUAGCGCCGUCGCCGGGCCUGGCCAGCUGUUGGUCGGCGGUGUCCUGGGACUGGCUCUUACGUAUACCGGUCGGCGACGCUACUGCUUUGGGUACUUUCAGGACCCGUCUUGAAACACGGA
RNAcentral lists this ribosomal RNA (475 nucleotides) under Pamophion sorus. RNAcentral's name for it is "eukaryotic LSU rRNA". Lineage: Eukaryota; Metazoa; Arthropoda; Insecta; Hymenoptera; Ichneumonidae. The record is from RNAcentral.